AGAGUUUGAUCCUGGCUCAGAGCGAACGCUGGCGGCAUGCUUAACACAUGCAAGUCGCACGGGUGGGGCAACCCAUCAGUGGCGGACGGGUGAGUAACGCGUGGGAAUCUGUCUCCGGGUGGGGGAUAACGAUGGGAAACUAUCGCUAAUACCGCAUGAAGCCCGAGGGCCAAAGCAGCAAUGCGCCUGGAGAGGAGCCC
This 200-nucleotide ribosomal RNA is filed under the name uncultured bacterium. RNAcentral's name for it is "partial 16S ribosomal RNA". It matches the Rfam family "Bacterial small subunit ribosomal RNA", at positions 8 to 232 of the family's 1533-position model. The record is from RNAcentral.